UAAACCUUAAACCCUAACAAACACUUAACCCUCAAAAACCCUAAAAAAUCCAAAAAGAAUCCAAAAACCUCUAAACCUUAAAAAACACUGAGUUCUAAACCCUAUAAAGCCCUAAAUCAAAUAUGCUAAACCCUAAAAAAAAUUAAAAAAAUCCCUAAGCCCUAAACCUAUAAAACCCUAAAAACCCUUAACCUAAAAAACCCAAAUCCCUAAACCCUAAAAACCUAGAUAAAACCCUUAAUCUAAAACCUAAACCUAAAAACCCAUAAGCCUCAAACCCUAAACCCUAACCUAAAACCGUAAAUCCUAAACCUAAAACCCUACAAAACCCUAAACUUUAAGAAACUAUAUAUCCCAUAAACCCUAAAAACCAUUUAAAAUGCUUAAAACCCUAAACAUUAAAAAAAACCUAAGCCCUAAACCAUAAACCCUAAGAAAAAUUUAACCCUUAAAAACACAAAAACCCCUACACUAAAAAACUCUAAGCUCUAAACUCUAUAAAGUAGUAAAUCUUAUAUUUUAUACCUAAAAGAACACAAAAAAUCCCUAAUCCCUAAACCCUAAACCUAUAAACCCUAAAAAAUAUUAAUCUAAAAAACCUAAAGCCCUAAACCCUAAAAACCUAGAUAAAACCCUUAAGCUAAAAACCUAGAUAAAAUCCUUAACCUAAAAUUCCAAACCUAAAAUAACCAUAAGCCCUAAACCCUAACCUAAAACGAUAAAUCCUAAACCUACAACCCUAAGAAACCCUAAACCCUAAACCUUAUAAACUGUAAAAUAAACCCUAAAAACCAUUCAAAACCCUAAGCUCUAAACCCUAAAACUAAAAAUCAUAAAAAAAAAAAAAGUUGUAGGCCCUAAACAAUAAAAAAUCCCUAAGAUAUAAUUAACCCAUAAAAGCAUUAAAAAAAAAAAAAAAACCCUAAAAAACCUUAAAAUAACUCUAAGUUCUAAACCUUAUAAAGCCUUAAAUCCUAUAUACUAAUCACUAAAAAAAAUAGAAAAAACCCUUAGCCUUAAACCCUAAAAAAACCUUAAUGCAAAAAACCCAAAGCCCUAAACCUAAAACCCUACAUAAAGCCAUUUACCUAAAACGCUAAACCUAAAACCCUAAGAAACCCUAAACCUUAAACCAUAAGAAACCCUAAAUCCUAUAAACCCUAAAACCCAUUUAAAACCCCUACAAAACCCUAAUCUCUCAACCCUAUAUCCAAAAAAUUUAUAACCCUAAACCAAAAAACCACAAAAAAACCCUAAGCCAUACACCUUAGACCCUUUAAAACCCUAAGACACACUUAAACCAUAAAAACUAUAAAAAAAAAAAAAAACCAAAAAUCCCUAAACCUAAAAUAGUAUAAACUCUAAACCCUAUGAAUCCCUAAAUCGUAUAUGUAAAAUCCUAAAAAACACAAAGAAACCCAAGCCCUAAACCCUAAACCUAAAAAACUCUGAAAACCCAUAGCUUAAGAAACCCUAAAAACCUAGAUAAAAGCCUUAACCUAAAUCCUUAAACCCAUAACCUAAAACCUUAAACCUAAAAAAAAACCCUAAACCCUAACCUAAAACCGUAAAUCCUAAUCCUAAGAAACCCUAAACCCUAAACCUUAAGAAACCCUACAUCCUAUAAUCCCUUAAAUAACCCCAAAAACGAUUUCAAACCCCUACAAAACCCUAAGCUCUAAACCUUAAAUCAAAAAAAUCUGUAAACCCUAAACCAAUAAAACACAAAAAAAACUAAACCCUAAACCCUAAGAACCCUAAGAAACACUUAACCCUUAAAGCCCCAAAAACCCCUAAACCUAAAAAACCUCUAAGCUAUAAAACCUAUAAAGCCCCAAAUCUUAUAUGCUAAAACCCUAAGAAAUCCUAAAUCCUAUAAACAUUAAAAUAAACACUAAAACCAUUUAAAACCCCUACAAAACCCUAAGCUCUUAACCCUAAAUCGUAAAAAUCCAUGAACUCUAAAUCUUAAAAAAUCCUAAGAUACACAUAAACCUUAAAAACACUACAAAACCCUAAAAAAAACCCCAAAACCCCUAAAACAACUCUGAGCUCUAAACCCUAUGAAGCCCUAAAUCGUAUAUGCUAAACCCUAAAACACAACAAACAAAACUGUAAAAACCUUAACCUAAAAAACCCUAAGCCCUAAACCCUAAUAACUAGAUAUAACCAAUAACCUAAAACCCUAAACCUAAAAAAUCCCUAAGCCCUAAACCCUAAACCGUAACCUAAAACCCUAAAAAAUCCUUAACCCUAAACUUUAAGAAACCCUAAAUCCAAUAAACCCUAAAAUAAACACUAAAAACCAUUAAAAAUGCCUACAAAACCCCAAUCUCUUAACCACAAAUCCUUAAAGUUCGUAAACCCAAAACCUAAAAAAUACAAAAAAAUACCCUAAACCAUAAACCCUACACACUAAACCCGAUAAAACCCUAAGAAACACUUAACCCUUAAAACCCUAAAAAAACAUUAAAACCACUAACCCUAAAAAACUCUAAGCUCUAAAACCUAUGAAGCCCCAAAUCGUAUAUGUUAAAUCCUAAAAAACACAAAAGAUACCCUAAGCCCAAAACCUUAAACCUAUAAAACCCUAAGAAACUGUAACCUAAAAAACCCAAAGCCCUAAACCCUUAAAACCUAGAUAAAACCCUUAACCUAAAACCCUACACAUCAAACAUCCCUAAGCCCUAAACUCUAAACCCUAAACCCUAACCUAAAACUCUAAAUCCUAAAACUAAAAUCCUAAGAAACCCUUAACCUUAACAAUGUCUUAAUCCUCUAAAAACUAAAAUUAACCCUAAAACCAUUUGAAACCCUACAAAACCCUAAGUUCUUAACCCUAACUCCUAAAAAUCUGUAAACCCUAAACCUAAAAAACACAAAAAAAAAAAAAAACCUUAAGCCAUAAACCCUAAACCCUAAAUAAAACCCUAAGAAACACUUAACCAUUAAAACCCCUAAAAACACAAAAAACCCUAAACCUAAAAAACCUCUGAGCUCUAAACCUCAUAAACCCUAAAUCGUAUAUGCUAAAUCCUAAAAAAAAAAAAAAAACCUAAGACCUAAACCCUAAAUCUAUAAAAUACUAAAAAUCCUUAACCUAAAACUCCCAAAGCCCUAAACCCUAAAAAGCUAGAUAAAACCCUUAACCUAAAACCCUAAAGCUAAUAAACCCUAGGUCCUAUACCCUACCUAAAACCCUAAGAAGUUCUAAACCUUAAGAAACCCUAAAUCAUAUAUACUCUAAAUUAAACCCUAAAAACCAUUUAAAUGCCUUAAAUACCCUAAGCUCUAAACCCUAAAUCCUAAAAAUUCGUAAACCCUAAACCUAAAUAUAAGAAAAAACCCUUAACCCUAAACCCAAAACCCUAAAAAAACCCUUAGAAACACUUAACCCUUAUAAACCCAAUAGCCCCUAAACCUAAAAAAGUCUAAACUCUAAACACUAUAUAGCCCUAAAAAAAACUUAACCCUUAAAAACACUAAAAAUCCAUAAAAAAAACCUUAAGCCCUAAACGCUAAACCAAUAAAAUCCUAAAAGCCUAGAUAAAACCCUUAACCUAAAGCCCUAAACCUAAAAAAAACUCUAAGCCCUAAACCUUAAAACCUAACCUAAACCCCUAAAUACAAAACCUAAAACCCUAAGAAACCUCAAGCCUUGAACCUUAAGAAACCCUAAAUCCUAUAUACCAUAAAAUAAACCCUAAAACUCAUUUAAAACCCCUACAAAACCCUAAGUUCUAAACCCUAAAUCCUAAAAAUCCGUAAACCCUAAACCUUAAAAACACAACAAAAAAACCUAAGCCCUAAACCCUAAGAAACACUUAACCCUAAAAAACACAAAAAACCCUAAACUUGAAAAAACGCUAAUCUUUAAACCCUAUAAAGCCCUUCAUCGUAUAUGCUAAACCCUAAAAACACAAAACAAAUCCCAAAGCCCUAAACCCUAAUCCUAAAAAAAACAUAACCUAAAAAUCCUUCACCCCUAAACCCUAAAAACGUUGAUAAAACCCUUAACCCAAAACCCUAUACCUAAAAAAACCCUAAGCCCUAAAUCCUAAACCUAAAACCCUAAGAAACCUCAAGCCUUGAACCUUAAGAAACCCUAAAUCCUAUAUACCAUAAAAUAAACCCUAAAACUCAUUUAAAACCCCUACAAAACCCUAAGUUCUAAAUCCUAAAUCCGUAAACCUUAAAUGUAAAAAACACCAAAAAAACCUAAGGCCUAUAACUUAAAAUAUCCUAAGAAACAUUUAACCCUUAAAAACCAUAAAAAAAACCCAAAAACCAUAACCUAAAACCAUAUAUCCUAAACUUAAAACCCUAAGAAACCCUAAACCUUAUGAAACCCUAAAUCCUAUAAACCCGAAAAACCAUUCAAAAC
This 4384-nucleotide long non-coding RNA is filed under the name Solanum tuberosum (potato). Its description in RNAcentral is "long non-coding RNA (STUB_LNC000603)". Lineage: Eukaryota; Viridiplantae; Streptophyta; Magnoliopsida; Solanales; Solanaceae. The record is from RNAcentral.